UGNGUAAAUUUUAAAGGUAUUUCCUGCCCAAUGAUUAUUUAAAUGGCUGCAGUAUCUUAACUGUGCAAAGGUAGCAUAAUAAUUAGUCUUUUAAUUAAAGACUUGUAUGAACGGAUUUAUGAAAAAUUUAUUUUAUUAAUUUUAUUAUUUUAAUUUAAUUUUUAAGUAAAAAAGCUUAAUUUUUUUUUCGGGACGAUAAGACCCUAUAGAACUUUAAUUUAUUUAUUUAUUUAUUUUUUUUUUAGGUUUUUAAUUAUUUUAAUAAAUUUUAAAUUUUUAUUGGGGNGAUAAAUAAAUUUUAACUUUAUUUUUUUUUUUCAUUAAUUUAUGUUUUUUUGGUCCAUUAUUUUGAUUAUAAGAUUAAGUUACCUUAGGGAUAACAGCGUAAUUUUAAUGGGGAGUUCAUAUUUAUAUUAAAGUUUGCGACCUCGAUGUUGAAUUAAGAUAAGAUUGAGGGGUAG
Molecule: ribosomal RNA, 461 nt
Filed under: Cicadellini gen. n. sp. DMT-2018
Lineage: Eukaryota; Metazoa; Arthropoda; Insecta; Hemiptera; Cicadellidae
Description: partial large subunit ribosomal RNA
Source: RNAcentral